UGCUGCUUCCCUUGAAAGGAGUGAAUUUAAGAAACACUCGAUCGCCUUUCUCAUAUUCUAAAUCCUUCCUCCAAGUGUCCGUAUAACUUUUUUGCCUGUUCUGAGCUGUCUGGAUGUUUUUUUUUUAUUUUAAUUAUCUUGGCUGUCAUCUCCUCUACAAGAUCUGAGCCAAAUAAUUUUAUAUCUUCCACCUCUUCCCUGCAGAUCGGUGACCUACUCGGUCGGCCAUAUAAUGCAUCAUAU
This 243-nucleotide long non-coding RNA is filed under the name Carica papaya (papaya). Its description in RNAcentral is "long non-coding RNA (CPAP_LNC004679)". The record is from RNAcentral. Lineage: Eukaryota; Viridiplantae; Streptophyta; Magnoliopsida; Brassicales; Caricaceae.